AUGUCGAUACGACGGUAGAGAGCCCAUAGUGUGCUGCCGAAACAGUCCUUCCCCACCGGUACGGGACGAGCCGAGGGGCUGCCCCCCCUUGCCGCGUGUGUACUUGCGGGGGAAACAGGAUAGUCAUGUUGCUUGGAGAAAGUGUCUGGAGAACCAGCGCUACACGGACAAGUGUGUGUCGGCCAAGGACGACCCAGACGAGUACGAGCGCGUCAGUACGUGCCCAGACGCAGGAGAUGGGUAUCGUAUUAUUGCUGGUACGGAUGCUGUGGCAAGAGAGUUUCCACAUAUGGCAUCGCUAGGCUGUCACUCAAU
Long non-coding RNA from Colias croceus (clouded yellow), 315 nucleotides. RefSeq lists it as uncharacterized. The transcript has 3 exons. The record is from RefSeq and is a predicted model, not a curated record. NCBI's taxonomy places the organism in Eukaryota, Metazoa, Arthropoda, Insecta, Lepidoptera, Pieridae.